UACAGAGGGUGCAAGCGUUAAUCGGAAUUACUGGGCGUAAAGCGUGCGUAGACGGUUAUGUAAGUCGGGUGUGAAAGCCCCGGGCUCAACCUGGGAAUUGCAUUCGAGACUGUGUAGCUAGGGUACGGAAGAGGGAAGCGGAAUUUCAGGUGUAGCGGUGAAAUGCGUAGAUAUCUGAAGGAACACCAGUGGCGAAAGCGGCCUUCUGGACAGUGACUGACGCUGAGAUGCGAAAGCGUGGGGAGCAAACAGG
RNAcentral lists this ribosomal RNA (253 nucleotides) under uncultured bacterium. RNAcentral describes it as "partial 16S ribosomal RNA". It matches the Rfam family "Bacterial small subunit ribosomal RNA", at positions 524 to 776 of the family's 1533-position model. The record is from RNAcentral.